RNAcentral lists this long non-coding RNA (306 nucleotides) under Elaeis guineensis (African oil palm). RNAcentral describes it as "long non-coding RNA (EGUI_LNC036941)". Lineage: Eukaryota; Viridiplantae; Streptophyta; Magnoliopsida; Arecales; Arecaceae. The record is from RNAcentral.
UAAAAAAAUCUAUUCAGAAUAAUAUAUAUGAUUGCAUAGAAAAAUUCUAGUUUAAGAUAUAAUCAAACAUAUACAGAUAUAUAUGUUGCUCAGAAUAGAUCUGAAACUCUGUCAAACAAAUUCAGAUCUAAACUUGAUUCUAAUAUCAAUUCUAUAAUUAAAAUACAUCCAUAAAAUUCUAUCAAAAAUAGAUUUAAAUCCAUAUAUAAUCAGGUAUUAAAUUAGAAUAAAAAUCUGCAUAUAAAUUCUGCUAAAAACAGAUUUUUAAUAGACCGCUUUUCAGGAGCUGAUUUCGAUCUGAUAAUC